Molecule: non-coding RNA, 1314 nt
Organism: Paramuricea clavata
Lineage: Eukaryota; Metazoa; Cnidaria; Anthozoa; Malacalcyonacea; Plexauridae
Source: the annotation of a GenBank genome assembly
CUUUUUUUGUAAGAAUUUACUAGUUAGUAUAUGGCCAGGCGGUGAUCGCACUACGACCGCAAUGCAUUAUUUUGGAUAUUUUCUUCAAGAUGGCGGAUUUCGAGCACGAUGAAAGGUAUGUUGGCGCUCUAUUUUCUGCCACGUUUUAAAGUUUAAACUUUUUGUUUUUUCUUAAAUUAAAAAGGAAGUUGCAUGUAAUAUUGUGAUGCUGUGUUACUUUUCAAAUCGAUAAUUUUUGGAAUUCGAUAAAAAAUAUCAUUUGAUUGUAAGCUCGUGUAUUUUUCCCAAAUACACUGGUCUGUUUACUUUUUCAUAUCACAGGUUAACCAUUCACACAUCACAUUUAAAAUUGCAAUUGGCAUAAUCUAUGAUCAUUAUUUGUGACCAUAUUAAAUGGCGCCCUUUGGCGCCCCUCAAUAUCGUAUCUUUUUGGGGCAUUUAAAUCAUGAUAUUUCCUUUGCUAAUUUCAGGUCUUCUUGUCCAGAGUUCAUGUUCUCCCGCUAUUUUCGGGAAGCGUUCGUGCAUCCCAGAGUCCCAUACGCCAGGCAAACAAAAAACAAAGCGGCAAAGAAAUAAUAAACGCAAAAGAGAAGCAAAAAAACAUUUUCAAAUGGAAAAAAUAAUGUGUGUCAAAAUGAGCAAGACCAAUGGCAGACUGUUGGACAACCGAAGAGGCGAAGAACAGACUUUAAUAAUGGGACUGUUUCAUAUUUGACAGGAUCAAUGACUGUCUGGUUGUGAAAAACCAUUUGUGCUUGUUGGAACUGUUUCUUGUAUUAUAGUCAGUUGGAGCAACUGGCAAUGAUUCAGUAAACUUUUCCUUGGUUAAUUUUAGAUGUGUUAAAAUUUUUGCCAUUUCCACCAAGUUACCCAUACCAUUUGUUUGUAGCUUUAAAUAGCACCUGAAACAUGACAUGCAUACUGUAGUCCACAUUGCUGCAGAAUGCCUUACUACGGAUGUAAAUAUAACACAGAUACAUGUACAGGCAUAAUACAGAUAGUGUCUCACACAAAUAGUGUACAGCAUUAUACCCAGGCAUUCACCAAGUCAAUGUUGAAAAUAAUAGUUCUGUGUAAAUUUUACCCCACCCAGGCCAUCCCAUUAAAAGCAGGACACCCAUGUCAAUAGUUGCACACAGUGUAUUAAUUAUGUUAUGGUAUGAACUACUUUGCAUAAUUAUAUAUUUGAACAGCCAUUUUCCCAAUCUGAAAAAACUUUCUCCCUAUAAACACAAACUGGGCUGGCAUGGAUGGAAGUUCUAAGAAUGCUGCUGUGAGUUAUGUAGAAAAACUGUUAGAACACUGUAAACCCAC